CCUACGGGCGGCAGCAGUGGGGAAUAUUGCACAAUGGGGGAAACCCUGAUGCAGCGACGCCGCGUGGGUGAAGAAGCGCCUCGGCGCGUAAAGCCCUGUCAGCAGGGAAGAAAAUGACGGUACCUGACGAAGAAGCCCCGGCUAACUACGUGCCAGCAGCCGCGGUAAUACGUAGGGGGCAAGCGUUAUCCGGAUUUACUGGGUGUAAAGGGGGCGCAGACGGCGAUGCAAGCCAGGAGUGAAAGCCCGGGGCCCAACCCCGGGACUGCUCUUGGAACUGCGUGGCUGGAGUGCAGGAGGGGCAGGCGGAAUUCCUGGUGUAGCGGUGAAAUGCGUAGAUAUCAGGAGGAACACCGGUGGCGAAGGCGGCCUGCUGGACUGCAACUGACGUUGAGGCCCGAAAGCGUGGGGAGCAAACAGGAUUAGAUACCCGGGUAGUC
Molecule: ribosomal RNA, 440 nt
Filed under: uncultured bacterium
Lineage: Bacteria
Description: partial 16S ribosomal RNA
Rfam family: Bacterial small subunit ribosomal RNA
Source: RNAcentral